This is a long non-coding RNA of Cyprinus carpio carpio, 4366 nucleotides long. The record is from Ensembl. NCBI's taxonomy places the organism in Eukaryota, Metazoa, Chordata, Actinopteri, Cypriniformes, Cyprinidae.
AUGGCUCUCAAUCUUAACGUCGACGAGGCUCGAAGCGGCGAAGAUAACACAACACCUGUUGACGAUGCUCGUUGUCUUUCAAAUGGUGACGAGAAUACAACUCAAAGUCAGCUUGUUACACCAUCAGGUGUCCCGUCGUCGUGUGCACCUGAUAAAUCAGCGGCUCCGGAUAACCUCAAACCGGUGGUAUCAGUACCUUUGAGUGGCAGUAACAGUGGGUCUGAACCGGUGACGCCGGGGGAUUCACUCCAGGCUAUAACAACCCAGAGUCUUGAGCCCAAGUCCAGUGGAUGCAACACGUCUGCCUUGAGAUGUGGGGAAAAGCGGGAGAGGGAAUCAGACGACCCCUCUGAAGUUCCUGUGAAACGCCGCUUGAGACCAUCAGAGGAUAACGGGAAAGAAUGUUCACCAGAUUACGACCAGAGAUGUGCGGAGCUAUGGAUCGAUGGUGAAAUGGCUGCUUGUGAGGCUUAUGAAUUAUCAAAGUCCAGCAGCGACACCCAGCGCCGACAUGUUGUUCCACAACACGACAAUAACAGUUCUGUCAGUCGGCCUCCCACACAGAAGGACUUUGCACGUGCUGUUCGAGCCGAAGUGGCAGCCUGUUUUCAACCCCUCACAAAGUUGAUUAGUUUGAGUAUUGAGUGGAGCAGAACUGAUUUCGCUGAGGUGAUAAGUAGACUUCGUGCACUGCAGAGGGAUACCACAGAGUUGGGAAGUGAAAUCCGUAAUAUGCGAGCAGAUAAAAGACAGGCGUUAGAUGAAAUCUCUCUUAUGGAAGAAAGAAUGAGCGUCAUUCAAAGGUGUGUGUUAGAGACGCACCAAAUUAUGAAUACUACUAGAAAAUGAUGGGUCUGUUUAUCAUAGCAUACUGAUUUUGGUUCAACCCUAUUUCUGCUAAACUUUUCUUCUUUUUUUAUAUAAUUGUAUUAACGAGUGAUUAUAAUUUUUUUUUUUUUUUUAUGAUGUGCAUGCUUGUUUAUUACAUAACUUUUGUGUGUUAUUUUAAUUUUUUUUUUUUUAAUAAAUUGUUUCAAAAUGGCCCUAAAAGAUGUCACAGUGAUUUCAAUGACAUCCAACCAGAUGUGUAUGUGUGUAUGUAUCUAUAUAUAAGGCUUAUUUUAUAUGUAACUACAGAUAAGUAUUGAAACAAUUUAAAUCUAGAAAAAAAAUUGUAUUUUACCUAAUAUUUGUCUCUGCAGUGUAUUGUUUUAUUUUAUGCACUGAUCAGCCAAAGCAUUAAUAAUGCGAACAGGUGAAGUGAAUAACAUUGAUUUUGUUUUUUAAAUGGCACCUGUCAAGGGGCAGUAUAUAUUAGACAGCAAGUGAACAGUCAAAUCUUGAAUUUCAUAUGAUGAAAGUUGAAAAAAUGGGCAAACAAAAAAGAUAUGAGUGACUACGACAAGUGCCACAUAGUGACGGCAAGACAACUGGUUCAGAGCAUCUCCAAAACAAGAAUCAUGUGAGGUGUCCCGAUAUGCAGUGGUUGGUAUCUACCAAAAGUGAUGCAAGGAAGCAGCGUCAAGGUCAUGGGCGGCCAAGGCACACUGAUGCAUGUAGUAUACAAGCUCAUAAGUGUAUAGUACAGUGCUGUGCAAAAUUCUUGUAAGAUUCCUUCACCAAGGUAAGGAAGGCAAAUAUAUGUUUUGUGAUUAGUUCACCCAAAAUAAAAGAUUAGACAGAUUUAGCGCAUUAAAUAUGUUAAGCUCAGAUGGUCACACAUGUGAGCUAUUAUGUUUAUUAACGUAUGUAGUCAGGGACAGAGUACAAGGAUAAGUGUCUAACAUAAUUCUAUAUUUUAAGCCAAGCAGAAUCAUGAAUAUUUCUAUUCUGGUGUCACCACUGCCCUGUGAUGCGGGAGAAGAACCAAAUCAAAGUCUGUUCAAGUCCAUUCCUGACGAAAUAUCAACUCGAACAUUUUAAUGAACAGCAUUUUUUGUUAACGGUUCGUCAUCUUAGAAGUAAUAAUUAGACGAAAAGAUCUGCUUUAAUCGCCAUUGAUCACAGUACACUUAGACAAUUGUUUUAUAUUACACGUUAAUUAGGCUAAUUUUAUCCUAUCAUGUUUUUUUUUUUUUUCAAAUUCAUGUUAAAUAUUAAUAAUAAUUAGAUACUACAUAUAAUUUGGUAAUAAAACAUAAAUAGUUGCACAUUUUAUUGGUGCAAAGAUAAGUGUUUAUUUGGUACACCCAAUUGCAACAGCGUUUUAACACUUAAUUAAUUAGACGUGCUUAAUUUAGAACGCUUUUUAUCACUUAAUCUGUCAGAGGGACUACUGAACAGACAUUUAGCAGUUUAUCUAUUGAAAAUCAAAACAAAGCUCUAUAAACACCACGCACUGGUCGCGCAUGCAACUUGAAUUGUUUUUUGCACUAAUUGGUUUGUCCAAAAAAAGACAACACUGUCCCAGGCCACUGUGGCCGUGUACCACUUCAUUUGUUAUACCCUUCUCUCUUUCUCACUGCUGAUGUCAUAUAUGAAUGACGUCAUGUUUUUUCAUAUUGUAUGGAAGUCACUGUACAGCAUCAAAUCUAUUAAUUAAUAGCUGCAAUAGUCAUACAAGUAUAUAGCCUCUUAAACAUAUACAUUUUGAUUAUAUUUAUUAUAUAGGCCUACAUAGCGUGUGUUUUGUAUAUGUGUUUUAGCUUUUGUGUCUUGGGAUAACACACUUGUUACAGUUUUGUUGCAUAUUGAUAACACAGUAAGACUAAGCCAAAAAAAAAAAAAAAUGGCAGAUUGGUCUUUACUUUGCUAACACAACUUUAACUUUUUUGCAGUUAUUUAAUCCUUUGUAUGAUUCAAAUCUCAUGUUAAUGAAUGCACUGUUUUGCUGAGACCAAGCUAUUUUUUGGACACUGUGUUUAAUCUGUCUUUAGUGUAAAAUGUAGGAAAGGCUUUCAAUUGAAUUGCAUUUUUAUGCUUCACCACUAGAGGGCACAUGUCUUUUACACACAUAUCCAUAUAAAUUUGUACCUAAUUGCUCUCAGACAUGACGUGUACCCUUGUACUCAUCUCAUCAUUAAAGUUUUGUGGAUAUAACUCUCAGAGCCCUUACUCUCUAACCGGAGUCACCAGUUUUCAAGGACUAUCUGAACAUUUCAGAGGCACCGCUUUAUAUACAGUAGCCUAUAUAAAUAUUUAUGAUUUGCAUGCAGUUUUGGUUCUGUGCAUCCUUUGCACAAAAAUAAAUAGUCUCAUUCACAUUCAUCUUUGUGACUGUCAAUUCUUUAAAACACAGAUGUGACUUGUCAGAACAUUUGAUCUUUACACUAAAAAAUUGCUAGGAAUUUACAUGAUUAAAGAUUAUUAUUUAACAAAAUGUAAUUUUCCUAUUCGUUUGGGCUCUUUGACCUUGCAUAUUCAUAUUAAAAUUUCUGAUCUAGUCAUGUGAGAAGUGUGACAAAUGAAAACAUUUGUCAAAAUGAUGACAAGCUAGCUAGAAUAUGAAAUAAGCUAAUUGCCUGACUUUAAUAUAAUAUAACUAUUCUUAGCAUGAACAUGAAGAUUUUAUUUUACCAUUAUUUAAGCAUGAAGAUUAAUCAAUAACUUAUUUCAUAUUCAUAAAUGUUUGUGGAUGGAUCUUUCAUAAUAGUGAGGCAACGUCUUUGACAUCAAAACUCGACAUACAAAACACACUCAACAAAUAAAAACAACACAACAUAAACCAACAUUACAAAAUAAACAACACUUACUGCUAAAAGUGAACCAAAAACAAGUUCAAUAGCGCAAAUAAAACUAACAUUAAAAAAAAAAAAAAAAAUUGUUCAUGAUGCUUUGCAUGCUGGGUGCCUUCAUAUAUGCACUGGUAAAAAGACUGCAUAAUGAAGCUGCCAAGUUUCUGCAUCAUUACUCCAGUCUUCAGUGUCACAUGAUCCUUCAGAAAUCAGUCUAAUAUGCUGAUUUGCAGCUCAAGAAACAAUUCUUAUUAUUAAAUUUUGGGUAUUAAAAAAAUAAUAAUUUUAUUAGCAAGGCAUUAGUUUAUUAAAUGUGAUAGCAUAAAAGACUUUUAUAAUAUUACUAAAAAAAAAUAUGUUUCUACAAAAUUUAAAAACAUGUUUCUACAAAAACAUUAAGCAGCACUGAUAAUAAAAAAUAACCAUUAUUAAAAAAUGAGCACCACUAAUAACUGAUAAUAACUGAACAGCAAAUCAGAAUAUUCGAAUGAUUUCUGAAGGAUCAUGUGACACUGAAGACUGGAGUAAUGAUGCUGAAAAUACAGCAUUGAUCACAGGAAUACAUACCUUAAAUUAUUUUAAAUUAUUAAAUUAAUUUUAUGAUUUAAAUGUUAAAUUAAUUUAAUAAUUAAUUAAAUUAAUCUAAAAUAUAUUCAAAUAGACAUCAGUUAUUUUAAAUUGUAAUAAUAUUU